Molecule: transfer RNA, 72 nt
Filed under: Camelus bactrianus (Bactrian camel)
Lineage: Eukaryota; Metazoa; Chordata; Mammalia; Artiodactyla; Camelidae
Also listed under: 2 other names
Rfam family: tRNA
About the family: Transfer RNA (tRNA) molecules are approximately 80 nucleotides in length.
Source: Rfam by way of RNAcentral
GGGGUUAUAGCUCAGUGGUAAAGCGUGUGGUUAGCCUGCACGAGGUCCUGGGUACAAUCCCCAGUACCUCCA